GAUCCUGGCUCAGAAUCAACGCUGGCGGCGUGCCUAACACAUGCAAGUCGAACGCGAAAGGGACUUCGGUCCUGAGUAGAGUGGCGAACGGGUGAGUAACGCGUGGGUGAUCUACCCUCGAGUGGGGGAUAACGUUCCGAAAGGGACGCUAAUACCGCAUGAUGUUCCGGGUUUGAAGACCUGGAAACCAAAGCCGGGGACCGCAAGGCCUGGCGCUCAAGGAGGAGCCCGCGUCUGAUUAGCUAGUUGGCGGGGUAAUGGCCCACCAAGGCGACGAUCAGUAGCCGGCCUGAGAGGGCGGACGGGCCACACUGGGACUGAGACACGGCCCAGACUCCUACGGGAGGCAGCAGUGGGGAAUUGUUCGCAAUGGGCGCAAGCCUGACGACGCAACGCCGCGUGGAGGAUGAAGGUCUUCGGAUUGUAAACUCCUGUUGAUCGGGACGAAAAGCUCUGACCCAACACGUCAGAGACUGACGGUACCGGUUGAGGAAGCCACGGCUAACUCUGUGCCAGCAGCCGCGGUAAUACA
This 532-nucleotide ribosomal RNA is filed under the name uncultured bacterium. Its description in RNAcentral is "bacterial SSU rRNA". It matches the Rfam family "Bacterial small subunit ribosomal RNA", at positions 15 to 527 of the family's 1533-position model. The record is from RNAcentral.